UACGGAGGGUGCAAGCGUUAUCCGGAUUCACUGGGUUUAAAGGGUGCGUAGGCGGAUUGGUAAGUCCGUGGUGAAAUCCCCGAGCUUAACUUGGGAACUGCCGUGGAUACUAUCAGUCUUGAAUAUCGUGGAGGUAAGCGGAAUAUGUCAUGUAGCGGUGAAAUGCUUAGAUAUGACAUAGAACACCAAUUGCGUAGGCAGCUUACUACUCGAUCAUUGACGCUGUGGCACGAAAGCGUGGGGAGCAAACAGG
Molecule: ribosomal RNA, 253 nt
Filed under: uncultured bacterium
Lineage: Bacteria
Description: partial 16S ribosomal RNA
Rfam family: Bacterial small subunit ribosomal RNA
Source: RNAcentral